UACGUAGGGACCGAGCGUUGUCCGGAUUCAUUGGGCGUAAAGAGCUCGUAGGCGGUCCGUCGCGUCGAAUGUGAAAACCCGGGGCUCAACCCCGGGCUUGCAUUCGAUACGGGCGGACUAGAGUUCGGUAGGGGAGACUGGAAUUCCUGGUGUAGCGGUGAAAUGCGCAGAUAUCAGGAGGAACACCGGUGGCGAAGGCGGGUCUCUGGGCCGAUACUGACGCUGAGGAGCGAAAGCGUGGGGAGCGAACAGG
This 253-nucleotide ribosomal RNA is filed under the name uncultured bacterium. Its description in RNAcentral is "partial 16S ribosomal RNA". It matches the Rfam family "Bacterial small subunit ribosomal RNA", at positions 524 to 776 of the family's 1533-position model. The record is from RNAcentral.